RNAcentral lists this transfer RNA (72 nucleotides) under Schistometopum gregorii. RNAcentral describes it as "tRNA-Ser". It matches the Rfam family "tRNA". From Rfam's summary of the family: Transfer RNA (tRNA) molecules are approximately 80 nucleotides in length. Their secondary structure includes four short double-helical elements and three loops (D, anti-codon, and T loops). Lineage: Eukaryota; Metazoa; Chordata; Amphibia; Gymnophiona; Dermophiidae. The record is from RNAcentral.
AGGAAAAAGAUGAUAGAGGUUAUAUGGCUGGCUUGAAACUAGUUUAUGUAGGUUCGAAUCCUACUCUUUUUG